AUUCUGGAUGACAAGCUCUACGCAAGAAGGUAAGCUAUUUUAGAUUUUUGUCCAUAUUUGGAAUAUCCCCACUUUUGGAAUUUUAGGGAUUUGAUUCAUUUUUGUGUUGCAUGUUUAACGUUGGUCUGGGUGAUGAUCAUUUGAGGAUGUACGAACUUGAUUGGUUGUCAGUAUACUUGAAUGUGGCCAAAUUUGGCUGAUGUCAUCAGCAGGCACACACAGAGAAGGAAGAGGUAGAAAAAAACCAUUCAGAUCUUUUCUUUAUUGUGGGUGCAAAAAUUAAGGGUCAAUGCAUCCUAAAAACUAGCGAUUUCCCAUGCAUCCUAAAAACAAGGGAGUUGGGCUAAAAUAAAGCAACAUGAAUCAUCCACUACUAAAGAACAUGGAGUGAGAUAAUGGGACUGGAAGUCCAAGCUUUUUAUGCCUAUAAAAGGCCUAGAAUCCCAUCAGAACAGGGGGGAAAGAUGGAGAAAAGAGAGGUAUAAGAUCGUUCUAUAUUUUAUAAGCAUUCUGAACAAAUACUGACUUGAGCGUCAGAGUGUUUUCUUGCAGGUCCCCUUCUCCCUCAUUGAUGGCGAGUGAAGAUGGAGUUGAAGGCUUCUCAACAUGGUUACAAGAUUUACUUGUUGGAGGAUUAAAGGAACCAAAAUUUUCCGCUCCAACAUUUACUGUUGAGUUAGUUCGAACCAGCUCUCGCCUUUUCACGUUUUUCUCACCGAUUGCUCAAGACUUUCAACUCUCAAACAUCUCAGAUCACACACAUGGAAUAAUGAUGGAUUUUUCUUAAGGUCAGGAUGACACACCUAUCGGGGCAAUGUCGGGAUGUUUAGGCUUGGGUGGAGACGUGGACUUAUGGAAGAGGUGAAGUAGCUUAGCUCUUUGUCAUUAGCUUUAUCUGUUCUAUGCAUCUCUAUAAUCUUACAAUGCUCUUUUAUUAAAUUGCAAGAUGUUGGGACCGGUUACUGGAAUACAAGAUUUGGAACAAAGGUGGUUGACAAUGCAAGAGUCGAAACCAAGUGUGAAAUUCACAUUGAAAAUGACAGGAGAGGGUUGCGCAUGAUCUGUAGGUUCAAUCAAACUCUCUGUUUUCGUUAGAAUCACUAUUAAAGUGUUGAUCUAUCAGGAGAAUUCUCAUCGCAUCAACUUGAACAAACAUUCUUCUACUUAGUUGCUUACCUGCUGAAACAAGAACGAAACACUUUUUAUGUUUUUUUUGUUUAACUGCUAAAACAGGUGGCUGACCUGCAUGACAUAUAUUUUACCAUCUUAACUUCAAGGGCAAUAUAUGUGUAAAAUGCGUGUUGCUUCUAUUUCUCAGGAA
Molecule: long non-coding RNA, 1321 nt
Organism: Malus domestica (apple)
Lineage: Eukaryota; Viridiplantae; Streptophyta; Magnoliopsida; Rosales; Rosaceae
Source: RefSeq, a predicted model, not a curated record